CCUACGGGUGGCAGCAGUGGGGAAUAUUGCACAAUGGGGGAAACCCUGAUGCAGCGACGCCGCGUGAGUGAAGAAGUAUUUCGGUACGUAAAGCUCUAGCAGCAGGGAAGAAAAAAAGUCCUUUGGACUUUGGUCGGUACCUGCCCAAGAAGAAACGGCUAACUACGUGCCAGCAGCCGCGGGAAUACGUCGGGGGCAAGCGUUAUCCGGAGUUACUGGGGUGAAAGGAGGGGUAGACGGGAGCUCAAGUCUGGAGUGAAAUGCCGGGGCCCAACCCCGGAACUGCUUUGGAAACUGGGCGUCUUGAGUGCAGGAGAGGUAAGCGGAAUUCCUAGUGUAGCGGUGAAAUGCGUAGAUAUUAGGCGGAACACCAGUGGCGAAGGCGGCUUACUGGACUGUAACUGACGUUGAGGCUCGAAAGCGUGGGGAGCAAACAGGAUUAGAUACCCCUGUAGUC
This 457-nucleotide ribosomal RNA is filed under the name uncultured bacterium. RNAcentral's name for it is "partial 16S ribosomal RNA". It matches the Rfam family "Bacterial small subunit ribosomal RNA", at positions 338 to 795 of the family's 1533-position model. The record is from RNAcentral.